GGCACGUUAUGAUAUGAAACAUGUAUACCUGCAGGUUACCAUUAGAGUCAAAAACUCCAACCAAAUCACAACAGAGGGAUUGAAAGGUUCUGGGUAAUUAAAUGGAACAUACCUACAGAGGAAAAAGAAAACAAUUCAAAGCAUUAAUAAUGAAAGAUUAACUAUAAUCUCUAGGUAACCUCUAGGUUAGAUUACUGAAACAGAUUAUACAUGGGGCUGCCUCUGAAGACAGUUUGGAACCAUCUCUUUCCAUAUGAACUGACCUGGGCCCUGCAAUCAUCAUCUGAGGUCCUUCUUCAUGUGCUUCCUCCACAAGCGGUCUGGAGAGUGGGAGCACAAGAACAGGCCUUUUCUGUGGUGGCUCCCCAUUUGUGAAAUGUUCUUCUUAGGGGGCUUACCUGGCCACCGUCAUUAUACUCCUUUAGGUGCCAGGCAAAACUGUUCCCCUUCUCCUCGGCCUUUCAUUGGUGUUAUUGUUUUUGUUUGUUAUACUAUGUUACAUAUUUUUGUGUUUUUAUAUUGUAAACUGCCCUGCAAUCCUUGGAUGAAGGGUGGUAUAGAAUUUCUUAUUCUUAUUAUUUAAAACAGAAGACUGUCCCCUCCCCAAGAAAUAUGCUAUAGAUCUGUCAAAAUCAAGGAUGUCUUCUCUUCAUACCUUUAAUUGUACUUGGCUGAUAUUCAGACCAAUCCUCACUACUGAUGCUGAUAGGUUGCAGUGGGAGGAAGUAAGAGGCAGACACCAAUUACUUGGAUUAAACAGGCCACAACUUUAUUUCCACAGCAUGGCAUAAAACAUUAGCUAGGCUCCAGAGAUAUGGGAAUUUAGAGAUGAUCCCCGGAAAAAGGGGGCAGAACCAAGAGCAGACUUAGAGGAGCGCCAACAUAAACUGUUUUAUCUGUUUAGCAAUAAAACAUUUUAUUAACUUUUUACUUGGUGCGACCUUGAUGUGAACGAAUUCCUUAUUACAAAAGCCAUAUACAGUGGUACCUCUGGUUAAGUACUUAAUUCGUUCCGGAGGUCUGUUCUUAAGCUGAAACUGUUCUUAACCUGAAGCACCACUUUAGCUAAUGGGGCCUCCUGCUGCCACUGCGCCGCCGGAGCCCAAUUUCUGUUCUCAUCCUGAAGCAAAGUUCUUAACCUGAAGCACUAUUUCUGGGUUAGCGGAGUCUGUAACCUGAAGCAUAUGUAACCUGAAGUGUAUGUAACCUGAGGUACGACUGUACUGCUGUUGUCAAAAGGCAGUGUGUGGGAUGCAGCAGUCAUAUGAUGCAUUGGUACAAGCUCUUUCAAUUUUGUUACAGGUUUAUGAGCUCCAGUUUGCUUAUGCUACUACAGUUUUUUUUUUUUAAAGAACAGUGCAAGUUUAUUGGGAUUCCUAUACAGAAGCUGCAUAACGGCAGACAAGGUUUUCUAAAGCUUGAUGACCAUCCCUGAUAUUUACUUGCUCCCACAAAGUGAAACCAUAGGAGUACAUUAGGUCAUUUUAAAGCACCCUCUCCAUUCAGGUAAGAAAACAAUGAAGUGCAUGAACUAAACAGGUGACUCAGGACAUACUGCAGACUCCCCUGCAAUGCAUUGUGGUUCUCUUGAAGAUCUACAGGAUGUGUUUGGCACAGGAGUCAAUGGAUGCAUCAUGCUAAUCCAUGGUUUAGUGUGACUGUGGUAUGAGCUGGAAUGACUAUGAGCAUGCCUACAGUUCCAGCACUUCCCUCUCCUCCCACUCAACUAAGAGGAAAAUUUCAACAGCAUUUAGUUUUGCUUUCCUUGAACCUUGCCUGCUUGUGUUGCCUAGACCAGGGACAGAUAUUGAUAACAAACAGGAGAAUUUAACACGUAGCUAUAUAACCCAUAGCUUGAAGCUGGCUUGCUCUGAAAUGGACCAGCAUUUCUUCAAAACCAUGAUUCCAGCAAGCUGAGAGUCAGGGAAAAUGAAGUGAAUGUUACAGAAGUCAUCCUUCUGGGCGUGUAGGAGGAGGGGUGUGUAAAACCAAGGCUCAUGGCAACUCCUUCCUGUUCAUGCAUGAUUUAGCAGGACAUGCAAACGUAUAAAAAGGGUUCCCAGAAAACAGACAGUUAUGACAGAGGGGGCACCAUACUAAACAGCAAUGAUUUAUUUUUCCCCCAUUAAAAAUUACAUGGAUCCUGAAAUUUGCAAAGCCUCAGCAUGGUGUUUAGCUUACCAUGCAAAUGUUGAAGCCAAGAGAAAGAUAAGUUCAUCUCAGAUAUGAGGAUCCAGGAAGAAAUGCUCAGGGACAACAUUUACAGGUCUGAUGCAGUUUGCAUGGCUGAUUAGUCUGCCUUAGCCUAAUUACCCUUGCCUGUCCUGACUGUAAAGAUAAAGACAUAGAAUACUGAAGGCAGCUAAGAUGAAAGAAGACUGUCUCUGCCAUAAAGAAAGAAUACAUAACCAGCAGCCUGUCUGUCUAUCUGUCUCAAGCUUGAGGCCUAAUUGAACCCAGUUUUAUUGAGGUGCAGCAGACACCACCAGGCCAAAUUUUUGGCAAUGCUUCAUGUGUCAGAUAUCAAAGUCUUAGUUCAUGCUAAUUAGUCUUACUAAGUUAUUUACUUUGGCAGUUCUCGUGGAGGCUCACCAAAAUAGAUUUUUUAAAAUUAGCUUUUUAAAAAUUGUAUUGUUUUGUUAUUUAACGUUGAACACACUCAACUUUGGUGAGCUUAGCCAUGUUAUAUGUCUUCUCCAGUAAAUAGAACUUAUUCAUCCCAUCUUCUCAGCAAGUGUCUGGGUAGAUUAGUAAGUUUCCAAGCAUAGUUGGAACAAUUACUUUCCUAACAUAUCUGAGUGAUGACAAAAUGAAUUCCGAAGAGGAGAAUUUGAAUGCCUUCCCUGCGUAUGUCUUUCUCUUCUAUCAAACACUCCAGUUGACUUUGGGCAAGGGAGGGGCAGCUGCAGCAUCAAGCAGGAGGGGAUGCAGCAUGGAAAAUACCCAAAACAGAUUUGCUCAAAUUCCAUGAUUUCUUAUGGUUCCAAGCAAAGAGGUUUCUUACCAGCGUGGUGUAGUAGUUAAGAGCGGUGGACUCGUAAUCUGGUGAACCGGGUUCGCUUCCCUGCUCCUCCACAUACAGCUGCUGGGUAACCUUGGGCUAGUCACACUUCUCUGAAGUCUCUCAGCCCCACUCACCUCACAGAGUGUUUGUUGUGGGGGAGGAAGGGAAAGGAGAUUGUUAGCUGCUUUGAGACUCCUUAAGGGGAGUGAAAGGCGGGAUAUCAAACUCUUCUUCUUCUUCUUCUUCUUCUUCUUCUUCUUCUUCUUCUUCUUCUUCUUCCUGUGUCUUCUCCAAAGGGACGUGCAUGUUAGAAAGGAAACCUUAUUAAUCAAAGGGCUUCAUGUGCAUCUGCAGCAAGGAGUUGACUUUAAUAAAUGGAGAGCAUGUCAAAAUGCUUAGCAUUUGAAAUGAAAAAGAUCACUAAAAAGCAUAGUCCUCCCAACACAUUCUUUAUGUGUAAACUGAAUGUAUUCAUCAGGAAACUGUCGUGCAUGCACACAGCAAUCUCCCAUGCUGAGCUGACCACAAGCAAAUAUCAUCAAUGUACCCUUAAAUAAAGCCCCAUGCAGUAGGAACCAAACUGGAUUUAGCUGAGAGAUUCUAACAAUAGUGUCAUUUACUCUGCUGAAUUUAUUCCUGUGUUUUGAUUAUUAAUCAGCUGAUCGGGAGGCGGGAUCUAUGCAGCAUUCAAGACAGUUACAUUUUCUCUUAUUAUCUCAACUGAAAGCAGACUUACAUUCAUCUGGACACUGAUUUUCCUGAAUAAAUAUUCCUGAAAUGUUUGGUUCAAGGAGAAACCUGUUCUUUAGUUGCUUGCACCACGGGCUUCAGAUCCCAGCCCCAACUUUAUCCAUGCGGCACAAGCUGAGCAGACGCUUGCAACAAUGCCCUGAUACAUAUUGGAAAACAACCCAUCCCUGAUGUAUAGCCCUUUUUAAUUGUUAGGAUAUUUUAUAGCACAAAGUGCAUUGCAAGAAUUUUUUCUUUAACUAUUGCAGCAAGUCUGCGAAAGAAGUCAUGAAUAUUCCUAUCUUAGAGACUGGAACUCAAUUCACAGUGUGACUUGUUCCAAGGCUGCCCAGGGUUUUUGUGGCUGAAAGGGGACUUGGAGCCAGCAGCACCCUCCAGCUCAAGUCCAACUGUAUCCACCAGACAUAUCUUCAUUUGCAUCCUGCUGUAUAAGCAGUAGAAGAGUCCUUUGAAUUUCUGCAUACAAGGGAGCUUCUCCAUUCAUUCCAAUAAAGGAUGCAGUCACGAACAUACAAGUUGUGCACCAGAAGCCAUUUGGUUUGCACUCUGAAGAGAACAGCAAUUUGCUCGCUUCACCUAAUCCUUCCUGUCUAUCAGGUUUUGCAACUAUCUUGUGGCCAUGGAUAUCACAGCCAAUCAAUCAACUCUGCCAAGAUUAAUACAGAAGGGGGGGGGGAGGUUUUACAGAAAGCUGAUAACACCAAAUAUCAUUGAGUUGGGUCCAGAUUUACAUGUGACCAGUGCUUUUCUUCUUGGGGGGACGCAGGGGUAUGCAUACCCCUAAACACUUUGUGACUCUAAGUUUGGCCUCAUUGAGGGGAAGAAUUUCAAUAUGAGUAGGAUAAUGAGAGUACCCCUAAACAUUUUUUUUUUUAGAAAAAAAGCACUGCAUGUGGCAAUGUUCCCUUGUGCUGGAGAAAGGGUGAGGCGACAAUGUUCACCAAAUCCUCCUUCUCCAGAGUCCCUGAAAACCCUUCACCUGUGUCCAGAGGUGGAUUUAGGGGGUUCGGUCACACUGGGUGUAGAGGCUCAGGGGUACCGCAACUACAACUAUGAUGUAGAAGAGAUGGCGAGAGGUGAGAGGCAGGGGCCCACCAAAUUUUGGUGUUGCACAGGGCGCCACUGAAAUUUGAGAUCUGCAAGGUCCCCCACUGCCUGUGACCCAUGAAAAUUUGCUCCAAAGGAUUUAGGGACCCUGCAGAGCAGCAUAAGAAGUGACUGCAGAGAAAAGGGAGAAUCAGCCCAAACCGUCUUCCACCCUCCCCUCCAGUGGCAAGCCUCCAAUGGAACUCAGAGCCUUCUGGGUGAAUAUGUGAAGUACAAGGUGUGACCGGAAAGUUCGGUGAAUGGCCACAGAAAUCUGACAGCGAGAAACAUUCAGACAUACAAUCGGCAUCGGAAACCCACAAAAUGCUCACAAUUGUGUAUGGAGAUGAAGCUGUUACUCGAAUGACAGUAUAUGAGUGGUUUAAGCGUUUCUGUGAAGGGUGGCAAACCACAGAAGAUGACCCUUGGUCUGGCAGACCAUCAACAAGCAAAAAGGAGGCAAAUGUCGACAGAGUUCGUGAGUUAUUGAUGCGGGAUCGGCGUUUGUCCGUCUGAAUGAUGGCCGAAGAAUUGCAUAUUCUGCAUGAAAUCAUUACUGAAGUUACUGAGUUGUUUCACCCUCCACAUUCUCCCAAUCUGGCCCCACCUGAUUUCUUUCUUUAUCCAAAACUGAAAUCUGCACUGAAAGGGCACAGGUUUCCCAACAUUUCACACAUCCAAGCUGCUGUGACAAGGGAACUGAAAGCAGUACGAAAAGAGGACUUCUCCAGAAGUUUCCAACAGUUCUACGAACGUUGUCAAUGGUGCAUUAUAUCAGAGGGGGCCUACUUUGAAGGCCUGUAAGGUGUGUAUGUUCAAAUAUUCCUCACUGUCCGAUUUCUGUGACCAUUCACCGAACUUUCCAGUCACACCUUGUAUUUCCAUUUGCAGACAGGACACACCGGAUCCAACCCAGUGUUUUUGACCGUUAUCUAGGCAAAAAGAAUUCUCUCAUGUUCUUUAAGAAAAUUAGUAGCUUUAGGGUUUGGGAUUGCAAUAAUCCAAAAGCUGGCAGAGUUCCUCCUGUGCAUUUCACAAGGUAUAUUUGUCCUCAGUGAACAUUAUUUGCCUGGGUGUGCAAGAUGUCUCAUGCCUGAAGACUAAAAUAUUUGGAGGGAAAAGGGUAAACUAUAAGGAUCAUUCAUUUUGUCAAAAUUUAUGAACAACUGACUCCUCAUAUUGGAAAUUGGCUUUUAAAGCUGGGCUCUAUCAUUUGUGACUGCACCAUGUGAUGUAUAAAACUCAUAAACAUGUUGCAGCAAGUCAGAGACGGGCGUGAAGCAGAGUUUCAGAAGCUGCCAGCACAGAGGAACCACUAAAUUGGCAUGGUGCCUUGAUAGGCCCAACCCUUAAAGAAACCAAGAUUUAAACUAUACUCACACGCACAUUAACGACAAUAUGGUCACUGAAUACUAACAUGGAUAAAUACUAUUAAUUAAAAACAUUCAAAUGUUGUUUCAAAACUUCAUUUGCCAUUUUUAAUAAGUGUUAAGCAAUAGUAGUAAACAUUGCUACAGUCAUUUUAAUAAUUUUCAUUAAAGCUUUUUUAAAAAAUGCUACUUAAAAACUACUACCCGGCACCUUUUUAAUAUUGGCCUUUUCAUGUUCUUUCAAGGUUUGCCUCUUCUUCUCUGAACAAACCAAUAGCAAACUUUCCAUGAACCCAUGCUGCCAUCAUAUGAUGCCAGUGGGCAUCUUUGUUGCAUCAGAUUUUUCUUCCCACCUCCGCCUUCCACUCUGGCUGGCAUAGACAUCAGGAUUGUGGAUAUAGCAAUGGCUGUACCACUCCAUCAAGCUCUGCUGUUCCCAGCCAGAUUAUUUUGGAUGGCACCCUACAAACAUGCAUUUUUACACAAGCAUUCCCCAGCUCUUGAUGCCAUUUUUUAACUACCUGGGUCCUGUGUGAUCUUUUACUGUUUUAUCGUAAUGUUUCAUUAGCAUUGCUGUUAUUUUGUUGUUAUAAAACACCUCUGGAUUUAUAAUUAAAUGAAAUCAGGCACUGAAAUUAUUUUAAAUAAAAAGAGGAAUGCACAAGCACUUCUGUGUGCACUGUGAAAGGAGUUGAACCUAUGCAUACGUUGGAAGCAAAUGUUUGCAUAGCCCUUUAGGGUGUUCAACAAGUUCCUGCUCUCCUGUCCAAAUGGUUCUCUUCCAGCGCUUUUUAAAUUUGGCACCCUGUGGCAACAAAAAAAGGCACCCAAUUCAAAAGCACAGAACUGUAGCUGGAAAGGAAAAAUUCUCAGCUUUUUCCUUUCCAGCAACAGCUUGAAUUCAAAAACCCUAACCCUUUGCACACAUGUCUGGAUUCCUUUGCACCUGCAAGGAAGACAGGAGGAUUCCUCACCUGAAGUUGAAGCACUUGAUGUCAUGUGACAUCAGAUGAUUGACAGGUGAGCAGCCCUUUCCACCUGUCAAAGUGGCUCCUCGGGGUUGGGGAACUUUUGUAUCCAGUCUGUGAAAUUCACUUCCCUACCCUUACUCUAGGAUAUAGACACCAGAGCAAUAACCAUAUUUGAGAUGGCUGUUCCACUAAUGUGAACAUGCCCCACAUUUAUUUCAUAUUGCAGAAAUUUCCUGUUACUCUGGGCUCGCUGUUUGUUAAAAGAGAACUAUGAGGCAUGACUUUGGCAUCAUCUGCUUCACAAUCAUUUGCAGUGUAGAUGCAGGGCCUCUCCUUUCUCUCAAGAAUUCAAUGUGUGCUGAGCUAGAGAUUUUAUCAGCAGGCAGCUUUGCUCUUGAAUCAAGGGCUUAACCAAAGGUUAGCGGAGAUUACUGCAAAAGCCCCAGAGUUGCUUUACGGGGGAAAUUGUGUUUAUUGACAAUGAGGUGAGGCAUACACAUGCAUAUAUGUGUGUGUGUAUGUGCGCACGCGUGCACGCACACACACACACACACACACACACACACACAGAGAGAGUGGAGAGGUUGUGCAAGUGAUACAAUAGCAGACCUUCUUAGAGAAGUGGUUUCAAAAUGGAUUUCCCACUCCUUUCAAGACUUGCCAAGAUUGCAAUCACCUUGUGAAAGGCUUGCCUGUGCAAACUUGUUCUAAGGCGAGUGAAUCCAGAUGGUCAUUGUGUAAGCUUAAACGGGGACCUUGUUGUGCUCAAUCCACCAAGCUCUGCUCACAUGUAGGCCUUGCUGAGAUGAAUGGAAGUGGUGCCUCUUGGUUAAGGGGGAAAUGCUAAGAGCUUUCGUUAAUGCAAUGCAAGUUCCUACUUUAUGCAGCUGUCAAUAUAUUCUGCCCACUCCUUUUACACAUCCUACAAGUUUCUUUGAGAGAUAGGCCAAAGAAAUUUUUGCCCAGGCACUCCCAAAAGAAAGAAAAUAAACUGAACUUAUUUUUCCAUUAGUGUAUGUUCUGUGAAAUAUAUUAUAAAGCUGCCAACUUAUAGCUCUGGGUUCUACUGCUGAAGCUUGGGCUAGUGCAUCAUCUUUUAAUGAAUGACAGGCUGACUUCAUGUGUAUAGACAUAGCUUUAUGUGGAAGCAGAAUGGCCUGCAUCUUAGAAGUCCAGACUGUGCCCCACAGAUGUAAUGUGGAAGGAGGGUUUGAAAUGAAGGAGCAGUCUGUUAAUGGAGACAUUUAACAUAUAUCUAAGACCUCAAAAUUACUAUCACACAGUCUCUUGCACUUCUCUUUCCCCCGAUGUUUUUUCUCCCUGAUAACAGAAAUCUGGCCAAGGGAAAUGCUUCUCAGGGAAGGAUUGUGAGGGAAACACCCCCAUUUGAGGGAGCAUUCAGCACCCCUUUCUACAACGCUUCCAGAGGAGCCUUGAAACCAAACACCCAACUACUCUCCAAUGAAUGAUGUAAAAUGUGAAACAGGAUCAUUAACAAUCUGUCUCAUUGUAGCAAUACAUAUACUAUCUUCCUGUGUUUUACCGUAGAUAUUGGAACUAUAGAUACUGGAAGCUUUGUCAGAACAGGCCUCCUUAAACAAAGAAAACAGCUACCUAAUCCUCUCUAAGGUAAGCUUUCAUGGCCAGAACAACAAACAACAUUCCGCUUCUGAAAACCCAAACAGUCCCAGACUGCUUACAUAGAAGCCUGGAUAAAAAUAGAUUCUUUAAAACCAGAGUCAUAGGGACCUAUAGCAAUUGUUUAGAUCUGGACCAGAUUCCAGGGAAUCAAAUACUUGCAAAAUUAAGAAAGAUUCUCAGUUGAACUUCAGUGUAGACCACCAACAUUAAGGAGUGGCACUGAUUUGGCAUGAGAACGGGGGAAAGGCAAUGAUUACUACUUUGCUACCAUCCAUGGAAUCCUGCAAUGGGACUUCCAUACUGGCUCAUGUGUGAAGCUUUUCAGUAGAGCUGGCUCACAUGUUCAGUUGCUGGUUACAGUAAUCAAUUGUAGAUAAAUUAAAUUAUGCACAUGGCUAUGAGAACCAGGCCUCUGAGAAGAUGUUCUUCUUUUAAAAAAAUCAAAAUCUAGGAAUACAGUAAAAAAAAAAAAAAUUAAAUUAUUCACAAGGGUCUUGUUGUGGUGAGCUCUGCAUACCAAACAUCUCCUAACAGGUCUCUCUCUCUCUCUCUCUUACUAAGAUGAGAAGUCAUUUUGAAUAAGUUGCCUGUUCAAAGAGUUCUUUGAUAAGCACAAAACUGCUUGCCAAAAUUCAUAUUUAGAGCCUUAAUGGUGGGAGAAAAACCAAGAAAUCCAAUACUAAGCAGUGGAUUAAAAUGUAUAAAGCAUAUUAAAUGUUGUUAGUUGAAAGCAGGUUUGUUGGUCCUUAAUGAACACCCUCUGCUAGAUACGUAGAAGCUAUAUCCAUUUUGGUAACAUAACUCUGCCUUGGGCAUGGUAGAAGUUGGGAGUAAUGCCAAGGCCCUAGCAGGGCCGACUGCCACAGGACUUCUGACCCCACAAGAGAUGCAGCUCAGCUGGGCCAUGGGAACACCAAGCAAAGUUUUGGUCCCACAAGUGUGAUGCAUGUGUGCUGGCCUGUGUUGCUAUGUUAAUAUACCAGCCCUACUCCCAACUUGUAUACAAAGUGGGCCGGGCUGAUUUCAUUAAGAGGGUGGUGCUAGCCACCAGAUGUCUACUAUGUUUUGGCUGGCACUGCCUCCAGACAUCACCUUAGUCCCUGAUGGCUGUCCAGCAGGGAGCAGAGGGCUUCCCACCAGCACUACUGAGCAGAGAUUCUGGCUUACAUGUAUGUCCUGACAAGUACUGCUGAGUGUGUUCAUGAUACCCUGUCCCACCCCUGGCAUAUCCACAUUGUGACAGGUCCAGCACCACUAAUGUGAUGAGGCCAGCAAUUACCCAUGAUGUAUGCAGGCCCGGAGCUCCACUUGGUACUGCAGCCUGAGUACCAACUAGGAAAUGGUGGUGGCAGGCACUGACUGUGCAGCCUUUCAGUUGGCCAGAUUUGACACUCGUGGGGAAGGUUCCAUCUUGACUAACUAGCCAAGAAAAUAAAACUUUGCAAGUUUCUCCAAGACAACUCUUGGGCAACUUGUUCAGUAGUGAAUUAUCUGAGAAAAUGAUGACUAAGGUUUUAAGAGGGAAAAGAUGUUGUCUUGAUCCACAGUGAUACCCAUGACCAAGUGAAGGCAGUGGCCCUAGCAAGCUGGAGCUUAGUAAGCAGGCCAAGCCCCUGGAUAAGAAUCAAGGUGCUGGUUCAAGGCCACAGUACAUGCUCUUCUUCUUCUUUGGUGAUCACUCGUAGCCAAGUAAGAUUGUUGUCCAAAAACACGGUUUUAACAGUUAGUCCAUAAGUGACUGUGGAGGCCAAUUCUGGAUCCACACGUCGUUCCACAGUGGGGACAUAGGUAUCCGGGUGGGAGUUGAUCACAGUGUGGAUUUGCCAAGCGUGCCUUCCUCUUAGCACAUUUCUCCCUUUCAUCCUGAAUUCAAGUGUCUUCAAAGUCCAGAACACCUUUGGUAAAGGCUGUUCUCCAAUUGGAGCCCUUGCAGGCCAGAGUUUCCCAGUUGUUGGUGUUUAUACUACUUUUUUUUUUUUUUUUAGAUUUGCCUUGAGAACCUCUUUUGUUGACCACCAGCAUUACACUUUCCAUUUUAUAGUUCGGAAUAGAGUAGUUCCACCUUGAGCUGAAGCAGACGAUACAAGACAACAUCUUUUCCCUCUUAAAACCUUAGUCAUCAUUUUCUCAGAUAAUUCACUACUGAACAGUGUCCAAAACUGGAGUGUGAGGAAGCAAAUACCUAUAUCUGAGUUAUGUAUCUAUACUGAGUUUAUUGUAAUGAUAUUUUAGGAUCCCUUAUUGUUCUUCUAUUCUUAAUUGUCUUUGGAAUUUUGCUCAGAGUAGUAAAGAAGUUUUGCUCUGGGAAUUAAAGGAGCACUGUCAUUUUCAUUAAUAUAAUUUCUACUGGGCGAAAUAUACUAUGACGUAUAUCCCAUUGACCUUUACAGUGACCCAUGAAGUAUACAGUUGUUAAUCUUACUGUCUAGAUGUACAACCAAAACUCAGAGACAACCUCCCAGUGGGCUUGUUUGGCUUAUGGGUAUUAUGCCACUGCAGAAGCUUCAGCAGAAGACAAUGUUACUGUCUUCAGAUACCUGGUAAUGAAAACUACAACCUUCUAAUGUAUUUCUUGCCAGCCCAAGGAGGUAUAUUAAAAAGUCCUAUUAUCUUAAUAGAUGUCUAUUGAAGGUUGGAGCUCAUAUUUGACUCUUACCUUCCCUAUUCUCUGGCAAGAUAUACAAAAGUCUUACUCAUUUCUGACCCCAAAGGCGUGAAUAAAUAUGUUGGCUUAGGUGGUGAUUAAUGCUUGUUGAUCUCUUGAUGUCUACCAAAUGGGGAGUCAUGGGUGAGGAACUUUAGUUUGAACUCUUUGGGCAUGAACUUGUUAGAUCACAUCAUGGCUAGGGGGAGCAGACAUUUUGCAUAGCAGUUUCUUGUCUCUGCAAACCUCAGAUGACAGCGAGGCUUCUACUUAAGCUGAAUCAAUCCCUAUUUACACCACUGAUACAGGGUGUAAAUAAGGAGCAAAACACGCUUUAUGUUCAUUUGGCUUCUCUCCCCACCCUUUUCUCUGUGUGGGGUAUUUGAUAGGGAAUUUGUGCAGUUGGGAAAUCUGCUUUAAACCUACUCACCACCAAUGUGCAUUGUGUUUUAAAGUUGUAAUGCUACAAGCUUGUCUUGAUGUGUUAUUUUUGUAAUUUAAAAAGAAAAAACUGAGCUGUGAGCUGUCUUGAAGACAAAUUCCAUUAUUUAUUUUAAAAACAAAUAAGUAAAAUAAAUAAUUUUAUUUAUUUAUUAACAAUAUUUUGUGCUCUUGCUCAUAAUUUAUUCAGGUGGUUUCCCUCUGUAUAGUUUCAAGAACAUCAUGUUUCUGCCAAGGCUUUGUGGGUGGAAAGAGCCAUAAGCAUCAUGGGUGAAAAGGGAAAAAGAAACUUGUAGCUUCAGCUCAGAUGUUAAAAGACAAGAAUCUCUCCGAAUCACCCCGAAUCUGUGAGCCGUAUGUAUUUGUGAAAUAAAAUUAAAACCUGGCAACCUGAAGCACA
This is a non-coding RNA of Podarcis lilfordi (Lilford's wall lizard), 12307 nucleotides long. The record is from the annotation of a GenBank genome assembly. Lineage: Eukaryota; Metazoa; Chordata; Lepidosauria; Squamata; Lacertidae.